GGGUUGUGAGGUUAAGCGACUAAGCGUACACGGUGGAUGCCUAGGCAGUCAGAGGCGAUGAAGGGCGUGCUAAUCUGCGAUAAGCGUCGGUAAGCUGAUAUGAAGCGUUAUACCCGACGAUACCCGAAUGGGGAAACCCAGUGUGUUUCGACACACUAUCAUGACAUGAAUACAUAGUGUCAUGAGGCGAACCGGGGGAACUGAAACAUCUCAGUACCCCGAGGAAAAGAAAUCAACCGAGAUUCCCCCAGUAGCGGCGAGCGAACGGGGAGGAGCCCAGAACCUGAAUCAGUUUGUGUGUUAGUGGAAGCGUCUGGAAAGUCGCACAGUAAAGGGUGAUAGUCCCGUACACAAAAAUGCACAAGUUGUGAGUUCGAUGAGUAGGGCGGGACACGUGACAUCCUGUCUGAAUAUGGGGGGACCAUCCUCCAAGGCUAAAUACUCCUGACUGACCGAUAGUGAACCAGUACCGUGAGGGAAAGGCGAAAAGAACCCCGGCGAGGGGAGUGAAAUAGAACCUGAAACCGUGUACGUACAAGCAGUGGGAGCCUACUUGUUAGGUGACUGCGUACCUUUUGUAUAAUGGGUCAGCGACUUAUAUUCUGUAGCAAGGUUAACCGUAUAGGGGAGCCGCAGGGAAACCGAGUCUUAACUGGGCGUUAAGUUGCAGGGUAUAGACCCGAAACCCGGUGAUCUAGCCAUGGGCAGGUUGAAGGUUGGGUAACACUAACUGGAGGACCGAACCGACUAAUGUUGAAAAAUUAGCGGAUGACUUGUGGCUGGGGGUGAAAGGCCAAUCAAACCGGGAGAUAGCUGGUUCUCCCCGAAAGCUAUUUAGGUAGCGCCUCGUGAAUUCAUCUUCGGGGGUAGAGCACUGUUUCGGCUAGGGGGUCAUCCCGACUUACCAACCCGAUGCAAACUACGAAUACCGAAGAAUGUUAUCACGGGAGACACACGGCGGGUGCUAACGUUCGUCGUGAAGAGGGAAACAACCCAGACCGCCAGCUAAGGUCCCAAAGUCAUGGUUAAGUGGGAAACGAUGUGGGAAGGCAUAGACAGCCAGGAUGUUGGCUUAGAAGCAGCCAUCAUUUAAAGAAAGCGUAAUAGCUCACUGGUCGAGUCGGCCUGCGCGGAAGAUGUAACGGGGCUAAACCAUGCACCGAAGCUGCGGCAGCGACACUUAGGUGUUGUUGGGUAGGGGAGCGUUCUGUAAGCCUGCGAAGGUGGCCUGUGAGGGCUGCUGGAGGUAUCAGAAGUGCGAAUGCUGACAUAAGUAACGAUAAUGCGGGUGAAAAACCCGCACGCCGGAAGACCAAGGGUUCCUGUCCAACGUUAAUCGGGGCAGGGUGAGUCGACCCCUAAGGCGAGGCUGAAAAGCGUAGUCGAUGGGAAACAGGUUAAUAUUCCUGUACUCGGUGUUACUGCGAAGGGGGGACGGAGAAAGCUAGGUUAUCCGGGCGACGGUUGUCCCGGUUUAAGCGUGAAGGUGGAUGACUUUGGUAAAUCCGGGUCAUCAUUAACACUGAGGCGUGAUGACGAGUCACUACGGUGAUGAAGUAACCGAUGCUACGCUUCCAGGAAAAGCCUCUAAGCUCCAGGUAACAUCAAAUCGUACCCCAAACCGACACAGGUGGUCAGGUAGAGAAUACUCAGGCGCUUGAGAGAACUCGGGUGAAGGAACUAGGCAAAAUGGUGCCGUAACUUCGGGAGAAGGCACGCUGAUGGUAGGUGAAGUGACUUGCUCAUGGAGCUGAAAUCAGUCGAAGAUACCAGCUGGCUGCAACUGUUUAAUAAAAACACAGCACUGUGCAAACACGAAAGUGGACGUAUACGGUGUGACGCCUGCCCGGUGCCGGAAGGUUAAUUGAUGGGGUCAGCCGCAAGGCGAAGCUCUUGAUCGAAGCCCCGGUAAACGGCGGCCGUAACUAUAACGGUCCUAAGGUAGCGAAAUUCCUUGUCGGGUAAGUUCCGACCUGCACGAAUGGCGUAAUGAUGGCCAGGCUGUCUCCACCCGAGACUCAGUGAAAUUGAACUCGCUGUGAAGAUGCAGUGUACCCGCGGCAAGACGGAAAGACCCCGUGAACCUUUACUAUAGCUUGACACUGAACCUUGAGCCUUGAUGUGUAGGAUAGGUGGGAGGCUUUGAAGCGUGGACGCCAGUCUGCGUGGAGCCAACCUUGAAAUACCACCCUUUAAUGUUUGAUGUUCUAACGUGGACCCGUGAUCCGGGUUGCGGACAGUGUCUGGUGGGUAGUUUGACUGGGGCGGUCUCCUCCCAAAGCGUAACGGAGGAGCACGAAGGUUAGCUAAUCCUGGUCGGACAUCAGGAGGUUAGUGCAAAGGCAUAAGCUAGCUUGACUGCGAGAGUGACAGCUCGAGCAGGUGCGAAAGCAGGUCUUAGUGAUCCGGUGGUUCUGAAUGGAAGGGCCAUCGCUCAACGGAUAAAAGGUACUCCGGGGAUAACAGGCUGAUACCGCCCAAGAGUUCAUAUCGACGGCGGUGUUUGGCACCUCGAUGUCGGCUCAUCACAUCCUGGGGCUGAAGUAGGUCCCAAGGGUAUGGCUGUUCGCCAUUUAAAGUGGUACGCGAGCUGGGUUUAGAACGUCGUGAGACAGUUCGGUCCCUAUCUGCCGUGGGCGUUGGAAGAUUGAGAGGGGUUGCUCCUAGUACGAGAGGACCGGAGUGAACGCACCACUGGUGUACGGGUUGUGAUGCCAAUUGCAUUGCCCGGUAGCUAAGUGCGGAAGAGAUAACCGCUGAAAGCAUCUAAGCGGGAAACUUGCCUCGAGAUGAGUCUUCCCUGGGUACUUGAUACCCCUGAAGGGCCGUUGAAGACGACGACGUAGAUAGGCUGGGUGUGUAAGCGUAGCGAUACGUUGAGCUAACCAGUACUAAUGACCCGAGAGGCUUAACCUUACAACACCGAAGGUGUUU
RNAcentral lists this ribosomal RNA (2934 nucleotides) under Pectobacterium brasiliense. Its description in RNAcentral is "23S ribosomal RNA". It matches the Rfam family "Bacterial large subunit ribosomal RNA". Lineage: Bacteria; Pseudomonadati; Pseudomonadota; Gammaproteobacteria; Enterobacterales; Pectobacteriaceae. The record is from RNAcentral.